AUGUCAAACACAAAGGUUCUCCAUCGCGCCCCGCCGCCGCCGACUCCAUACGCCCAGGUUGCCGUGUACCAAGACGCCGAGCCGUUGAAGCAUCGGGCCGAAGGGGCGCCGGCCGCACCAACCAACGGCAGUUUGGUCCUCAAGACGCACUGUGAGUUGCCGACCCUCGGGAGGGGCGCGUCCCGGGACAAGUUCGCGGUGCUCGUGCACGCAAGGGCGCCAGCCGACGUGGCGCGCGCACCGCUCGACCUUGUUACCGUGCUAGACGUCAGCGGCAGCAUGGAGGGUCAGAAGCUGGCGCUGCUGAAGCAGGCCAUGGGAUUCGUCAUCGACCAACUCGGCCCCGACGACCGCCUGUCUAUGGUGUCCUUCUCCGGGGAGGCGACCCGCCUGAUCCCUCUCACGCGUAUGACGGUCGCGGGGAAGGGCUCGGCCAAGCUCGCGGUUGAGGGCAUUGUCGUCAGAUGGACGGGCACCAACAUCGGCGAGGGCCUCCGUAUGGGUGCCCAGGUUCUCGCCGGACGCCGGCACAAGAGCGUCGUCGCCAGUAUGAUCCUUCUCUCCGACGGCAUCAUAAAGAACGGCGGUGCCAAGGAUUACAUGACGCUCGUGCCGCCUUUGUUCAGGCACGCCGGCACCCGGCCUGGGCCGAUCCACACGUUUGGUCUCGGCACCUACAUCGACGCCGUGGCGAUGCACAGCAUCGCGGAGGCCGCCGGCGGCACCUUCUCCUUCAUUGAGAAUCAGGCAGGGAUCAAGGAGUCGUUCGCGCAGUGCAUCGGCGGGCUCCUCUCGGUCGCCGUGCAGGAGGUGCGCAUCUCCGUGACGUGCCUGCACCGGGGCGUGCGCGUCCUGGAGUUAAAGUCCGGCUGCUACGGCAACCACGUGGGCGCCGAUGGACGUGCCGCCUCCGUCGACGUUGGCGAGCUCUACGAUGGGGAGGACAGGCGCUUCUUGGUGCUCAUGCACGUUCCGAGAGUCAGACCCACGGAGUCGGUUACCCGCCUUGUCAAGGUGAGCUGCACCUACAAGGACGCCGCGACAGCGCAGGUGGCCCACGUCGCCGCACCGGCGGCGGUGAUCAAGCGGCUGUUGGAGCUAGAGCUGACCGAAAUCCCCGCUCCAUCCAUUGAGGUGGAGCGGGAACGCGUCCGGCUUGCCGCGACACAAGACAUGGCGGCCGCACAGGUAGCCGCUGAGUGGGCAGAGUACGCCUGCGCCGUUCGGAUCCUGGAUUCUCGGCUGAAGGCCGUGGAGAAGUCUGCGCCAGGGGCGGCUGGUGAUCCGACGUGCGAGGUGCUCAAGGAGGAGCUGCGUGACCUGACCGCCCGCGUGCGCGGCCCGCUGGAGUACCUGCGGACGGGGCGCGCGUGCCUGCUGGCCGGCAUGAGCUCGCACGCGCAGCAGCGGGCCUCGGCGUCCACUAGCAGCAAGGCUCGGGCGUACCUGACUCCCAAGAUGGAGGAGAUGGUGAAGGUGUCGCGUGAGCAAAGCAGGAAGCGUGGCAGCAGCCAGCUGCCAUGGAGCCAGCUUAAACAGAUCAAGCAAGAUCCGAGCGAGAAUUUCGGAUCACGAAUUGCACAAUAA
RNAcentral lists this ribosomal RNA (1587 nucleotides) under Triticum aestivum (bread wheat). RNAcentral describes it as "partial small subunit ribosomal RNA". The record is from RNAcentral. Lineage: Eukaryota; Viridiplantae; Streptophyta; Magnoliopsida; Poales; Poaceae.